AGGUUAAGCGACUAAGCGUACACGGUGGAUGCCCUGGCAGUCAGAGGCGAUGAAGGACGUGCUAAUCUGCGAUAAGCGCCGGUAAGGUGAUAUGAACCGUUAUAACCGGCGAUUUCCGAAUGGGGAAACCCAGUGUGAUUCGUCACACUAUCAUUAACUGAAUCCAUAGGUUAAUGAGGCGAACCGGGGGAACUGAAACAUCUAAGUACCCCGAGGAAAAGAAAUCAACCGAGAUUCCCCCAGUAGCGGCGAGCGAACGGGGAGGAGCCCAGAGCCUGAAUCAGCAUGUGUGUUAGUGGAAGCGUCUGGAAAGGUGCGCGAUACAGGGUGACAGCCCCGUACACAAAAGCGCAUGUGCUGUGAGCUCGAUGAGUAGGGCGGGACACGUGGUAUCCUGUCUGAAUAUGGGGGGACCAUCCUCCAAGGCUAAAUACUCCUGACUGACCGAUAGUGAACCAGUACCGUGAGGGAAAGGCGAAAAGAACCCCGGCGAGGGGAGUGAAAAAGAACCUGAAACCGUGUACGUACAAGCAGUGGGAGCACAGGUUUACCUGUGUGACUGCGUACCUUUUGUAUAAUGGGUCAGCGACUUAUAUUCUGUAGCAAGGUUAACCGUAUAGGGGAGCCGUAGGGAAACCGAGUCUUAACCGGGCGUUAAGUUGCAGGGUAUAGACCCGAAACCCGGUGAUCUAGCCAUGGGCAGGUUGAAGGUUGGGUAACACUAACUGGAGGACCGAACCGACUAAUGUUGAAAAAUUAGCGGAUGACCUGUGGCUGGGGGUGAAAGGCCAAUCAAACCGGGAGAUAGCUGGUUCUCCCCGAAAGCUAUUUAGGUAGCGCCUCGUGAAUUCAUCUCCGGGGGUAGAGCACUGUUUCGGCUAGGGGGCCAUCCCGGCUUACCAACCCGAUGCAAACUGCGAAUACCGGAGAAUGUUAUCACGGGAGACACACGGCGGGUGCUAACGUCCGUCGUGAAGAGGGAAACAACCCAGACCGCCAGCUAAGGUCCCAAAGUCAUGGUUAAGUGGGAAACGAUGUGGGAAGGCCCAGACAGCCAGGAUGUUGGCUUAGAAGCAGCCAUCAUUUAAAGAAAGCGUAAUAGCUCACUGGUCGAGUCGGCCUGCGCGGAAGAUGUAACGGGGCUAAACCAUGCACCGAAGCUGCGGCAGCGAACGUAUCACCCAAGACAACUUUACGGAGUUGACGAUUGACGGAGCGAAGCGACGUCAAAGCGUUCAUUAAAGUCGAGUUGGCUUAGGGAUACGUUCGUUGGGUAGGGGAGCGUUCUGUAAGCCUGUGAAGGUGUGUCGUGAGGCAUGCUGGAGGUAUCAGAAGUGCGAAUGCUGACAUAAGUAACGAUAAAGCGGGUGAAAAGCCCGCUCGCCGGAAGACCAAGGGUUCCUGUCCAACGUUAAUCGGGGCAGGGUGAGUCGACCCCUAAGGCGAGGCCGAAAGGCGUAGUCGAUGGGAAACGGGUUAAUAUUCCCGUACUUGGUGUUACUGCGAAGGGGGGACGGAGAAGGCUAUGUUGGCCGGGCGACGGUUGUCCCGGUUUAAGCGUGUAGGUGUGUGUUCCAGGUAAAUCCGGUUCACUUUAACACUGAGGCGUGACGACGAGGCACUACGGUGCUGAAGCAACAAAUGCCCUGCUUCCAGGAAAAGCCUCUAAGCAUCAGGUAACAUCAAAUCGUACCCCAAACCGACACAGGUGGUCAGGUAGAGAAUACCAAGGCGCUUGAGAGAACUCGGGUGAAGGAACUAGGCAAAAUGGUGCCGUAACUUCGGGAGAAGGCACGCUGACACGUAGGUGAAGUGAUUUACUCAUGGAGCUGAAGUCAGUCGAAGAUACCAGCUGGCUGCAACUGUUUAUUAAAAACACAGCACUGUGCAAACACGAAAGUGGACGUAUACGGUGUGACGCCUGCCCGGUGCCGGAAGGUUAAUUGAUGGGGUCAGCGCAAGCGAAGCUCCUGAUCGAAGCCCCGGUAAACGGCGGCCGUAACUAUAACGGUCCUAAGGUAGCGAAAUUCCUUGUCGGGUAAGUUCCGACCUGCACGAAUGGCGUAAUGAUGGCCAGGCUGUCUCCACCCGAGACUCAGUGAAAUUGAACUCGCUGUGAAGAUGCAGUGUACCCGCGGCAAGACGGAAAGACCCCGUGAACCUUUACUAUAGCUUGACACUGAACAUUGAGCCUUGAUGUGUAGGAUAGGUGGGAGGCUUUGAAGUGUGGACGCCAGUCUGCAUGGAGCCGACCUUGAAAUACCACCCUUUAAUGUUUGAUGUUCUAACGUGGACCCGUAAUCCGGGUUGCGGACAGUGUCUGGUGGGUAGUUUGACUGGGGCGGUCUCCUCCUAAAGAGUAACGGAGGAGCACGAAGGUUGGCUAAUCCUGGUCGGACAUCAGGAGGUUAGUGCAAUGGCAUAAGCCAGCUUGACUGCGAGCGUGACGGCGCGAGCAGGUGCGAAAGCAGGUCAUAGUGAUCCGGUGGUUCUGAAUGGAAGGGCCAUCGCUCAACGGAUAAAAGGUACUCCGGGGAUAACAGGCUGAUACCGCCCAAGAGUUCAUAUCGACGGCGGUGUUUGGCACCUCGAUGUCGGCUCAUCACAUCCUGGGGCUGAAGUAGGUCCCAAGGGUAUGGCUGUUCGCCAUUUAAAGUGGUACGCGAGCUGGGUUUAGAACGUCGUGAGACAGUUCGGUCCCUAUCUGCCGUGGGCGCUGGAGAACUGAGGGGGGCUGCUCCUAGUACGAGAGGACCGGAGUGGACGCAUCACUGGUGUUCGGGUUGUCAUGCCAAUGGCACUGCCCGGUAGCUAAAUGCGGAAGAGAUAAGUGCUGAAAGCAUCUAAGCACGAAACUUGCCCCGAGAUGAGUUCUCCCUGAGACUUAGAGUCUCCUGAAGGAACGUUGAAGACGACGACGUUGAUAGGCCGGGUGUGUAAGCGCAGCGAUGCGUUGAGCUAACCGGUACUAAUGAACCGUGAGGCUUAACCUUACAACGCCGA
RNAcentral lists this ribosomal RNA (3003 nucleotides) under Salmonella enterica subsp. enterica serovar Typhimurium str. U288. RNAcentral's name for it is "bacterial LSU rRNA". It matches the Rfam family "Bacterial large subunit ribosomal RNA". The record is from RNAcentral. Lineage: Bacteria; Pseudomonadati; Pseudomonadota; Gammaproteobacteria; Enterobacterales; Enterobacteriaceae.